GAGAGGGAGAGGCGAAGGGGGUUUAGUAUAGAAAUGAAGCCAGUGUGAACUUCCUUCAUUGUUGUCAAGUUGUUUGGUACGACCAGAAAGAAAGCGAGAGAGAGAGCGAGAGAGCCAGUGGCGGUGAAGGGAAGGGGGGAAUGAGAAGAGAAUGGGUGAGGGAGAAAAGUGAGAUGAGGGUGAGUUGUUUAGUUUGUGCCAGAAGGAUUGAGAGAGGGAGGGAGGGAGAGAGAAAGAGGGAGGGAGAGAGUUAGUGCUGCUGGCCAUACCAGGACAUGGGAGUUGACAGGGAGGGGGAACAGAAUCAGCCCCUACAGAACAGCAGUGGAACAACCUAAUCAGCAGCUGCCUGGCCUUAGGAACAGCUUCCUCCUCGGUUCUGUUUCUCUCCCAACGCUCAAGUCAAGCCGACGAGGCCAGAUGAGCAAGACGAGGGCAGGGGACAGAGGCCUGCUACGCAGAACUCACAGCUGAUAGAGAGGAGUGGUCCGCGGAGGCGAGAAGGAAAAGUGCAAGAUAGAAAAAAAAAAACUGAGGAAAAGAAACAGGGAGAGAAGCCCUGUCUGGUUCUGAGAGGGGUUUCUCUGUGGAAUGCCCGUGGCAUGAUGCCGUCACUGAGUCUCACCCCACGCCCAGGUGACAAGGGAGGGCGUGUUGGGCUGUCAGCCAUUCACACCAGGCCCGUUAGGAGAGUCACUUCCGGUAUCUGUUCAUCCGUACUCCAUCUCAGAACCCUCUCGCCUCACUGACGUCCUGCCCCUUGUUCUUCCAUCACUUCCUCCUGAAGCCCCACCUCUUCCUGUGUGGCAUUGUGGGGAUGCUGGUGCCAGCUGGCGCUGGAAGUUACCAUGGUGACGGAUAGGUAACCUUUCUGAUGUUGUGCCAGAUGUGGAGAAGACAGGAGGGCUCCAUCAGACAUCGACGGGC
Molecule: long non-coding RNA, 927 nt
Organism: Esox lucius (northern pike)
Lineage: Eukaryota; Metazoa; Chordata; Actinopteri; Esociformes; Esocidae
Source: Ensembl